AUGCCCUUUCAAGGUUGAUGCACUGCUUUAAGAGACUAACACAGAAGGGUAAAGUCUCCAUAAAACCCAAAGAAGAGAUUGUAAAAUUCCUCUUUGGAUCCUGUCUGAAGUCAGAGCU
This is a small nucleolar RNA of Microcebus murinus (gray mouse lemur), 118 nucleotides long. The record is from Ensembl. NCBI's taxonomy places the organism in Eukaryota, Metazoa, Chordata, Mammalia, Primates, Cheirogaleidae.